GCUGGGGACAGGAAUUCGCAGAGAUCGGCUGCUCUCAGAUCCCAAAUCCUAAACAGGAGGGGGCGUGCAUUACUGAGCAGUCCUGAGCGCAUCACAGAGCAGGCGAGCGGCCUGCAGGAGGGAAAGGCUGCUCCGUGAUGCCUGCUUGGGAAGCAUCCUUAGGAAUAUGUAGGCCGAUGUCAAAGCCUGCUGCUGGUCCAGUACCUAGGGAUCUGCUGCAUAAAUUAUGAUACAUUAGUUGACACUGCCCCAGCAGCCUGGAGGAAAGAGGUCAAGAUUAAAGGACUUUGCCGGACCCAGAGGCCUAUCGCAACCUCUAGAGGCUGAAGCAGGAGCGUCGCUGCAAGUGCAAAGCCAACCAGGAAAAAUAAAUACAUAAAGGACUUUAAUAAGAAUUAUUCCUUUUCCAACUUUCCAACCAGGUUUUUUGGACCUAGCUGACACCUUUCCAGUAUAAGGACAGCACCAGCAGUACUGGAGUCAGCCCCCUGGCCUCACCCUGCAUACCUCCCAAUGAGUGGACAUCUCCCACCUGAGGUCCCAAAGCUCCUUCCUCCCUAGGAGGGAAGCAAGCUGGGGGCAGGGAAAGGGGUUGAUUGAGCUUUGGACAGGUUCUUCAGGUCCUUCAACUCUGUGAGCUCUGGUGUCCUGUCUGUAUGAUGGACAUCAUAACUGUGCCUUCUUAGGAGUAUGGGAAAUGCCUGGCCCACAAGCUGGCACCAGGUAUCUGUUUGAUAAGUUAAUUAGCUAACUAGUCAGCUGGUCAAUGAAUACUAUAAAUAGGUUAAAUCUCAAAGUUACAGACCUAUAAAACUGGAAACACCUUAGAGAUCCUACCCAGCCUGUUCACAUGGAUAUUUACAUUCCUCCUGGACCUGUAUAUCACAACAGAUGGUUAGGAAUGUGUAUCGUUUGGCCAAACUGCUUGGUUCAAACUCUUAUUCUAAUACUAACUGGAUGUAUGACCCUGGGCCGGUUACUCAGUCUCUCUUUGCCUCUGUUUUCUUAUCGGUAAAAUGGGGAUAAUGGUUUCUGUUUUGUAGGUUGCUGGAAAGAAUAACAUCAUGCCUGAGAAAACACUUAAGGCAGCACGCAGGAAGAGCUUAGUAAAUUAGCUAUUAUACCAGGUACCGCCAGGGUUGUGUCAGACAGAUUGCCUUGCUAAGGAAAUAAUGGUUUCCAAACUUGAUUCUAAAUAAAAACUUAAUGUAGGUGCCAGAUCAUUCAUUCAUGUAUUUACUCAACAAAUAAAUGUUGAGUGUUUUGUUCUGGCCUAGGUCCAUCUAGGUGUUGGAGAAGAGACAAAAUUUAAGCAUCUGUGAUUUGCAACAACUGACGUGCUACUGCAGGGAAGCAAAAUGCGUUAAGAGAUGACUGAAAGUCAAUCACACUAAGAAGCUAGGUGUGGUGGUACAUGUGGUAAUCCCAGCAUUCAGGAGGCUGAGGCAGAAAGACCACUGCAAGUUGAAGUCCAUCCUGGGCCACAUAAUGAGUUCAAGGUCAGCCUGAACUGCAUGGUGAGACCUUGUCUCAAAAAAAAAAAAAAAAGUAGUGAUAGGAAAAAAACAGAUAGGUACAGCAGGAGAAAUGGGUUGCCAAGAGAUACAAGAAGCACUGUUCAGUAAGGAGAAGUUUGAGCAAAAGUUCUGAAACCAUGUAGAUACCAAGAGGGAAGAGUGAUUCAGGCAGCGGGCACAGCCACUAUGAUGGCUGAGGUGGAAAUAUGCUUCAUAUGGCCAAGCCUCAACAAAGCCAGCGUGACUAAAGGAGGUGAGCAAGGGGGAGGGUGGAAGAUGAGCUCACAGAGGCAGUGGAGGAGGAUGAAAAGCGGCUGGAUUAUGUGGAAAUGUUAUAGAGAUGGAACUGACAGCAUUUGCUGCUGAGUGUAAUGCCUGCAAGGUUUGGGGCCUAAUAAAGUGGAAGGCUGAGGUUGCUAUUUA
This is a long non-coding RNA of Cavia porcellus (domestic guinea pig), 1940 nucleotides long. RefSeq lists it as uncharacterized. NCBI's taxonomy places the organism in Eukaryota, Metazoa, Chordata, Mammalia, Rodentia, Caviidae. The record is from RefSeq and is a predicted model, not a curated record. The transcript has 2 exons.